RNAcentral lists this ribosomal RNA (253 nucleotides) under uncultured bacterium. RNAcentral's name for it is "partial 16S ribosomal RNA". It matches the Rfam family "Bacterial small subunit ribosomal RNA", at positions 524 to 776 of the family's 1533-position model. The record is from RNAcentral.
UACAGAGGGGGCAAGCGUUGUUCGGAAUUACUGGGCGUAAAGGGCGCGUAGGCGGCCUGUUAAGUCGAACGUGAAAUCCCCGGGCUCAACCCGGGAACUGCGUCCGAUACUGGCAGGCUUGAAUCCGGGAGAGGGAUGUGGAAUUCCAGGUGUAGCGGUGAAAUGCGUAGAUAUCUGGAGGAACACCGGUGGCGAAGGCGGCUUUCUGGACAGUAACUGACGCUGAGGCGCGAAAGCUAGGGGAGCAAACAGG